Molecule: ribosomal RNA, 1323 nt
Filed under: Petrobiellus sp. 1 JZ-2014
Lineage: Eukaryota; Metazoa; Arthropoda; Insecta; Archaeognatha; Machilidae
Description: 16S ribosomal RNA
Rfam family: Bacterial large subunit ribosomal RNA (bases 868-1323)
Source: RNAcentral
AAUUUAAUUUUGGUUAGUUUAUAUUGUGCUGUUUGAAUUUUAUUUAAAAUAUUAUAUUGUUUGUAUUAGUAAAUAUUUAGAAUUUAUAUUGUUUAUUUUAUGUAUUGUUAGAGAUCGUUUGAAAUAGUUUGAAAGUAUGUUGGUUAGUUAGCAGAAUUUUUUUGUACCUUUUGUAUCAGGGGUUUAUGAUUUUGAUUACUUAUUGUAUUUAUCCCGAAUGGUUUUGAUUUAUAUAUAUAUAAAGUUUAUUGUUGCAAUAUUUAUAUUUUUAAUGUGUAUAUGGUAAUAAAAAGUUAUUUCGUAAAAUUGGAUUUCUGGUUGUUUGAGAAAUAAAUUUAAUUUAGUGAUAUUGUUUGUCAUAUAUUAUUUAUUUGAUAUGUACAAGAAUAUUUUAUUAAAUAGUAGGGGACUAGCUCUAUUAUUUAAUUUUAUGAUGACAAAAGGUAAGUGAAUGUUUAAUUUAGGAUUAGAAGUUUCUAUUAUUUAUAAUUGUGUUGUAAUUUAAUAUUUGUGUUAAAUUAAAGAUUUAAUUAAUUUGUGUCUAAAAUUUUUAUUUAACUUUUUAAAUUAAUAAUUUUAUUUAAAAUAAUUUUGUAAAUAUUAGUAAUAAUUAAUAUCUGUAUUUUAUUAUAAUAAGUUGUGUAAUAUAUUUUUAGGAAUUCGGCAAAUGUAGUUUUCACCUGUUUAUCAAAAACAUGGCUUCAGUAGAAUUUGUUUAUGAAGUCAGGCCUGCCCGCUGAAAUGUUUGAAUGGCCGCGGUAUUUUGACCGUGCAAAGGUAGCAUAAUCAUUUGUCUUUUAAUUGAAGGCUGGUAUGAAGGGUUUUAUGAAAAAUUAGCUGUCUUAAAAUGGUUUAUUGAAUUUGAUUUUUUAGUGAAAAGGCUUAGAUGAUUUUGUAGGACGAUAAGACCCUAUAGAUCUUUAUAAUAUAAUUUUUUAAUUUUGGUUAGUUUAUAUUUGAUGUUAAUUUAUUGUAUUAUUAUGUUGGGGCGAUGGGGGAAUUUGUUUAACUUCUAGAUAAUAAAUUUACUUUAAUAUAUGUAAUUUAUUUUAUUGUGGAUCCUUAUUAGUGAGAUUAUAAGUCUAAGUUACCUUAGGGAUAACAGCGUAAUCUCUUUUGAGAGUUCUUAUCGAUAAAGGGGGUUGCGACCUCGAUGUUGGAUUAAAAUUUUCUUUUUAAUGUAGCAGUUAGAUUAGGAUGGUCUGUUCGACCAUUAAAAUUUUACAUGAUCUGAGUUCAGACCGGUGAGAGCCAGGUUGGUUUCUAUCCUCAGGAUUAUUUUGUUUCUCUAGUACGAAAGGACCGAGAAAUAGAAAUAAUUUU